RNAcentral lists this ribosomal RNA (563 nucleotides) under uncultured bacterium. Its description in RNAcentral is "partial 16S ribosomal RNA". It matches the Rfam family "Bacterial small subunit ribosomal RNA", at positions 355 to 1375 of the family's 1533-position model. The record is from RNAcentral.
UGGGGAAUAUUGGACAAUGGGCGCAAGCCUGAUCCAGCCAUGCCGCGUGAGUGAUGAAGGCCCUAGGGUUGUAAAGCUCUUUCAGCGAGGAGGAUAAUGACGUUACUCGCAGAAGAAGCCCCGGCUAACUUCGUGCCAGCAGCCGCGGUAAUACGAAGGGGGCUAGCGUUGUUCGGAAUCACUGGGCGUAAAGCGCACGUAGGCGGACUUUUAAGUCGGGGGUGAAAUCCCGGGGCUCAACCUCGGAACUGCCUUUGAUACUGGAAGUCUGGAGUCCGAGAGAGGUGAGUGGAACUCCGAGUGUAGAGGUGAAAUUCGUAGAUAUUCGGAAGAACACCAGUGGCGAAGGCGGCUCACUGGCUCGGUACUGACGCUGAGGUGCGAAAAGCGUGGGGAGCAAAACAGGAUUAGAUACCCUGGUAGUCCACGCCGUAAACGAUGGAAGCUAGCCGUCAGGGUGCAUGCAUCUUGGUGGCGCAGUUAACGCAUUAAGCUUCCCGCCUGGGGAGUACGGUCGCAAGAUUAAAAACUCAAAGGAAUUGACGGGGUCAUAGCUGUUUCCU